AUACAGAGAGUGCGAGCGUUAAUCGGAAUUACUGGGCGUAAAGCGCGUGUAGGUGGAUGCUUAAGUCGACUGUGAAAGCCCCGGGCUUAACCUGGGAAUUGCAAUCGAGACUGGGCAACUAGAGUAUGGUAGAGGGAAGUGGAAUUUCCGGUGUAGCGGUGAAAUGCGUAGAUAUCGGAAGGAACACCAGUGGCGAAGGCGGCUUCCUGGACCAAUACUGACACUGAGACGCGAAAGCGUGGGGAGCAAACAGGAUUAGAAACCCCUGUAGUCC
This 274-nucleotide ribosomal RNA is filed under the name uncultured bacterium. RNAcentral's name for it is "partial 16S ribosomal RNA". It matches the Rfam family "Bacterial small subunit ribosomal RNA", at positions 523 to 796 of the family's 1533-position model. The record is from RNAcentral.